AUUGAACGCUGGCGGCAUGCUUUACACAUGCAAGUCGAACGGCAGCGGGGGCUUCGGCCUGCCGGCGAGUGGCGAACGGGUGAGUAAUGCAUCGGAACGUGCCCAUGUCGUGGGGGAUAACGUAGCGAAAGCUACGCUAAUACCGCAUACGUCCUGAGGGAGAAAGCGGGGGGAUCUUUGGACCUCGCGCGAUUGGAGCGGCCGAUGUCGGAUUAGCUAGUAGGUGAGGUAAAGGCUCACCUAGGCGACGAUCCGUAGCGGGUCUGAGAGGAUGAUCCGCCACACUGGGACUGAGACACGGCCCAGACUCCUACGGGAGGCAGCAGUGGGGAAUUUUGGACAAUGGGGGCAACCCUGAUCCAGCCAUGCCGCGUGAGUGAAGAAGGCCUCGGUUGUAA
RNAcentral lists this ribosomal RNA (398 nucleotides) under uncultured bacterium. RNAcentral's name for it is "bacterial SSU rRNA". It matches the Rfam family "Bacterial small subunit ribosomal RNA", at positions 28 to 428 of the family's 1533-position model. The record is from RNAcentral.